Molecule: ribosomal RNA, 478 nt
Filed under: uncultured bacterium
Lineage: Bacteria
Description: partial 16S ribosomal RNA
Rfam family: Bacterial small subunit ribosomal RNA
Source: RNAcentral
GACGAACGCUGGCGGCGUGCCUAACACAUGCAAGUCGAGCGAAGUGAGUACUACGGUACGAACUUAGCGGCGGACGGGUGAGUAACGCGUGGGCAAUCUACCCUGUAGACUGGGAUAACACCUCGAAAGGGGUGCUAAUACCGGAUAAUGUCGAGAAGCGGCAUCGCUUUUCGAAGAAAGGAGAGAAUCCGCUAUAGGAGGAGUCCGCGUCCCAUUAGCUAGUUGGUGAGGGUAACGGCCCGGCAAGGCGACGAUGGGUAGCCGGCCUGAGAGGGUGAACGGCCACACUGGAACUGAGUCACGGUCCAGACUCCUACGGGAGGCAGCAGUGGGGAAUAUUGUGCAAUGGGGGAAACCCUGACACAGCAACGCCGCGUGAGCGAAGAAGGCCUUCGGGUUGUAAAGCUCAAUAGUAUGGGAAGAUAAUGACGGUACCAUACGAAAGCCCCGGCUAACUACGUGCCAUCCGCCGCAGUAA